Molecule: long non-coding RNA, 794 nt
Filed under: Olea europaea subsp. europaea
Lineage: Eukaryota; Viridiplantae; Streptophyta; Magnoliopsida; Lamiales; Oleaceae
Source: RNAcentral
UUCAAAGGAGAAGAUUAUUCUCUUUACCAAACAUAUGCGGAUCCAAUCACGAGCCUCCCAAGUGGAAUGAGCUGUCUUGUAUCCAAUAACUUGGGCACAGAUAGGUAGUUUGUUGCUUUUUAUAUCGAAGCGAAGAUAGAUUAAUGAGGAACUGCUGCCCUUUCACUGGAAGAUUUUUUCUUAACAUCAAGCGUGUUGGGACUAGAUAGAAAUGAGAACUUCAACAAUUUCCUUGUUUUCAAUGUCUCCUAAUUUCCAGGAAUUAGUCACUUCAACAGCCUUAGAUGGUUAUACAGGUAUCCAAAGUACGAAUGAGAUGGAUGUUUGUUGUCCCAACCAUUCUUUUAGUCCCGAGCCCAAUAAGGAAAUGGAUAAUUUCUAACAAAGUAUUUGCGUUGUUGAUUCCUAGGUGUAGUGCUUCUUCUCCUAUGCUGCCUAUUGGUACUAGUGGAGUAGGAUUGACCCAUAAUAAAGAACCCCUAGGUGUAACCUUUCACUCAAUACUAGAAUCAAAAUUGAAACAUAGCAUCUGAGGUUGCAUUAAUCGAGGAUACACGACAUAAUGAAUUGUUCUAUUUCCAAACUUCACCUUCAACAAGCGUAGAUUUAUUUCAAAAAAUGUUCUAAAUCACGUGUCUUUCUUGUAAGACUGAGAGAAAUAAUAAUUAAAAAAAAAGAAUCAAAUCAUACCAUCUCUGUAAUAGGUAAAUGCCUCUUUUUCUCCUGAAGUUGUCGGAAUUAAUCAUAAUAAGAUAUUAGCUACAAUUGAAAAGGUCUUCAGCCACAAAAUCUAC